UACGUAGGGACCGAGCGUUGUCCGGAUUCAUUGGGCGUAAAGAGCUCGUAGGCGGCUGUUCAAGUCGAACGUGAAAACUCGGAGCUCAACUCCGAGCCUGCGUUCGAUACUGGACGGCUAGAGUCUGGUAGGGGGAUCUGGAAUUCCUGGUGUAGCGGUGGAAUGCGCAGAUAUCAGGAGGAACACCAAUUGCGAAGGCAGCUCGCUGGGACGUUACUGACGCUGAGACGCGAAAGCGUGGGGAGCAAACAGG
Molecule: ribosomal RNA, 253 nt
Filed under: uncultured bacterium
Lineage: Bacteria
Description: partial 16S ribosomal RNA
Rfam family: Bacterial small subunit ribosomal RNA
Source: RNAcentral